This 313-nucleotide unclassified non-coding RNA is filed under the name uncultured fungus. Its description in RNAcentral is "partial contains 5.8S ribosomal RNA and internal transcribed spacer 2". The stretch from base 1 to 133 matches the Rfam family "5.8S ribosomal RNA", at positions 22 to 154 of the family's 154-position model. The record is from RNAcentral. Lineage: Eukaryota; Fungi.
UGGUUCUGGCAUCGAUGAAGAACGCAGCGAAAUGCGAUAAGUAAUGUGAAUUGCAGAAUUCAGUGAAUCAUCGAAUCUUUGAACGCACAUUGCGCCCCCUGGCAUUCCGGGGGGCAUGCCUGUUCGAGCGUCAUUACACCACUCAAGCCUGGCUUGGUCUUGGGCGACGGGACCCCCCGCGCCCCAAUGUCCCCGGCUGGACGUUCCCCAUCUCAGCGUUGUGGCACCCCAAUUCGCUGGCGAGACGGGACGGCCACGCCGCCAAACAUCCUCUUUGACGGUUGACCUCGGAUCAGGUAGGGAUACCCGCUGA